UACGUAGGUGGCGAGCGUUGUCCGGAAUCACUGGGCGUAAAGGGCGCGUAGGCGGUUGUUCAAGUCGCAUGUGAAAUACCAGGGCUUAACCUUGGGGGUGCAUGCGAAACUGGAUGACUUGAGUGCAGUAGAGGUAAGCGGAAUUCCUGGUGUAGCGGUAAAAUGCGUAGAGAUCAGGAGGAACACCGGUGGCGAAGGCGGCUUACUGGGCUGCAACUGACGCUGAGGCGCGAAAGCGUGGGGAGCAAACAGG
This 253-nucleotide ribosomal RNA is filed under the name uncultured bacterium. Its description in RNAcentral is "partial 16S ribosomal RNA". It matches the Rfam family "Bacterial small subunit ribosomal RNA", at positions 524 to 776 of the family's 1533-position model. The record is from RNAcentral.